CCCAGGUUUACAGAAGCACGAUUUGGGGACUGGACCCCAGAAUCUGAAAUUCAAAGCUUCAAGCCAGCCUUCGCACUGAAGACUUGCUCCCACACGGUCCCGCGCGUCUCUAGCCAGCCGCCAGCUCAAGAGGUGAUCCUGAGGCGCUCCGCCAGGGGGCGCAGCGAGCCGCUUCCGGGUGAGGCGAGGCGCGAGGCGCCGGAGGGGCGGAGCAGGGCGUGAACCGGAAGUUAACCGCGGGCCCCGCCUGUCGCGCGGUGGGAGGCAGCCUGGGACCGGCCCACGGAGUUGCAGCCGCCCAUCGCUCCCUCCUUGCGGACAUCAUGCUCCAGUUCCUGCUUGGAUUUACUCUUGGCAACGUGGUUGGAAUGUAUCUGGCUCAGAACUAUGAUAUACCAAACCUGGCUAAAAAACUUGAAGACAUUAAAAAGGACCUGGAUGCCAAGAAGAAACCCCCUAGUUCAUGAGGCCGACUCCAGCCCUGCCUUCUGGAUUCUACUAUUGUCGAGGGCCUUCUUUACUCUGAACCAAAAGCUUUUGUUUUAAUUUCCAGCCUCAGCAGUUUUCUUCAUUGUGUUGCCUUAGAGCACAAAUGGGGCCACAAGUUAAGAACUACCCUUAAUUUUCCAACAGCAUCACUUCUUCCCUUGCUCCUUCCAGCCACUUGGAAGGCCCUGAAACUGGAAUUAUGGUGCUAGAUUAGUAAACAUGACCUUUAAUUAGUAGUCUCUCCCUUUUUCUUUGGAAUUUCUAUUACCUUUUUUCAAAAGAAAAAUUGAUAAAUUUUGUAUAGCAGAUGAGAUAUAAAUAAUGCUGAUUUCACAUUCUAGCAAUUAUAUAAUGGGUAUUUAAACAUUCGGUACUUAAUUAUGUUAUUUCAAAAUAGUAGUUAAAAUCAAGAAGCCAGUUCCUGGUGAAUUAUCCAUUGUUGUCAGGAAGCUGCAUAGUUGCUAUUGUAACCACUAUAUCAAUUUGCUAUUCAUUAACCAAGAAACAGUGUUCUGAGAACCCUGAGAACUUACAAAUAUUUAAAAUAAUGGCCGUUGUCCUCAAUAGUAUUCCUAGUCUAAUAUUCAUGUUGUUUUUUAAUGAUGUGUUUGAUCUGGUUCUUUUCCCUCGUAAGAAUCAUACUUUAUGGGAUAACAGGUGCAUGUGACAUUACCUGGUGGAUAAAUGAGAAGUUGAUUAUAAGGGAAGUUUUAUGCCUUUUUAUAUUUAAAAAAUAUGUUUACAUUAUAACUUUAUAGUGAGCCCCUGAGUGAGUGGGUUAAGGAUCUGGCAUUGCUCAGUCUCAUAGGAAGCCUUUUUGUGUUUUUUUCCUGCAAUCAGAAAUUGCUCUCUUAGUUUGUCAAAUGUAUAAUCAGUCCACAUUUUUUUAAGUGAAAAAAAUUUAAAUAGGUAACUUCCCCUUGGGUCAGUACAAAAGUGAUUUAGAAUUAAGGACUUCUCCCACCCAUGUCCUGCAGCUCCUAAUUCCUCUUCCUGGAGUCAGGCACUGUUGCCAGUUUUUUUGAAAAAGAUUCUGUCCCUAAACAAACAUGUUCAUGAGGGUUAUUAUACAAAUGAUAACAAGCUAUAUACAGAAUUUUCCUCAGUGGAGAUCAUUCCAUAUCCGUAUGUAAGGAACAAAAAACCUCUUCCCCUUUUGUGACUGCAUAAGGUUCUGUUGAAUGAAUAUGCUGCAGUUGAUUUAGUCAGCUCCUGGUGAACAUUUAGGUUGUUUCCUGUCUUUUGUUAUUAUGGUGAUAACCUUAAACCUAAUAUUGUUAUGCAUAUCUAUGCCAGGGAUAGCGCCAAGCUAAAGCCCUAGAAGUGUAGUUUACCCUGUAGUUUCUAGGGCUUUACCAAGCUAAAGCCCUCGAAGUAUAGUUUGUUGGGUAUCAGCUUCACUGAUAAUGCCAUUCCUGGAAACAUUUUAGCAGAAUUAGUAAACUGGAAGGAUGAUUUUAGAGACACCUUUUUUUCAGACACUGAUGGCACUGACAGUAAAUGUGAUUAUACAGUGAGGUGAUUCUACUUUUCUUUGAAAACGUGGAUCUUUCAAACAUGGAGAUACAUUUUGUCCCUGUCAGGUUGUCCUGGUUCGUGAGACAAAUUAGGACCUUAUUAUAGUUUGUCUUCUCCUCAGACAGAGUGUGAUCAGGGGCAAGUGGCUUAUUUCUCCAAAACUGUUGUUUUCUCUUUAAGAUGUGGAUGCAGUACCUACCUCAUAGGGCUUCCAUGAGAAACUGUUGAGAUAACAUACGUGGUGUGUAGCACAGUGCUUUGCAGAUUGUCCAAUAAAUAGUAGAUAUUAGUUGGAACGUGCUGCCUUUGGUCAGAAUACUUUUUUCUGCACUCACUUCUGGAACCAGUUUAUGAACCAUGCAAAAUGUGUCAUUCUCUUUGUAAAAUGAAAAUCUGUAGUAUCCACUGUGAUCAUACCACCUGGCUUACCAGGUUUGAUCUUAAAUGACUGAAUUGUUAGCAGAAUGAACUACAGCCUUGAAGGAUAAUGGUUUACCAUCUUGAUAGGUAUUCAAACUUUCACAAGCUUAGAAAGCUGUUUUCAAAGAGGGAUUCAUUGUUAUCAGCCAUGGAGCCUUGAUGCUUGUGUGUAUGGUCUCCCAGGUGGCUUCUUUGGGGAUGUGAGUCACUUAGAUGUUGCAUGAUGAGGUCUCUAUAAUUGUACUUGUAAAUGAGGCACGAUUGGACUUGGAGCUUCCCCUGGGAGUGACACUUAACCUUGCUGACGGGAUCAUCUCCACCAGUGGGAGCCACCCAGCUAAUCACCUUAAACGUGUGAACAGCAACACAAAGAGUGCAGGCCAACUUCAUGGUCACCAUUCAGAUUCCCUCUCCCAUUUCAGGCUCUUGUAGGAGUGAAAGGGAUCUGGAGUUCUCAGGCAGGAUUAUCUUCACGGAGACAUAUUGUUGGGGGACCUAGAACCAUUAUGGGUUUUAGGCGGUGUGGUGGUUGUGAUCGUGGUACUCAAAGUUAACAUUCUCUGGGUGUUUUGUAGAGGUCCCUGCAGAGGGGUGGGAAGAACUACUGCAAGACAUGCCUUUUUUUUUUUCCUUUAAAAAAAUCUUGAGGAGUUCCUGUUGUGGCACAGUGGAAAUGAAUGCGACUAGUAUCCAUGAGGAUGUGGGUUUGAUCCUUGGCCUCCCUCAGUGGGUUAAGGAUCUGACAUUGCUGUGGGCUGUGGUGUGGGUUGCAGAUGUGGCUCGGACCCACUGUUGCUAUGGCUGUGGCAUAGGCCAGCAGCUGCAGCUCCUAGUGGACCCCCAGCCUGGGAACUUCCAUAUGCUGCCGAUGCAGCCCAAAAAGGCAAAAAAAGAAAAAAAAAAUUUAAAACUACUUGAUGGGAUUUUAAGGAAACUUUUGCUACACCCAACCAUGACAGGAGAGUUACGUAAGAUACUACGGAAGGAUGCUCACAUGUAAAAAAUAAGACUUCAGGAUUAAUGUCAGAUACUUAAAAAAUACUUUGAAAUGGAAACCUUAUCCUUGAAUUGUAAGUCUCCCAAAUUAAAAAAAAAGGGGGAAGAAAAACCAAAACAACCUUACUUAAAUUGUCCAGAGGGCAUUGUAUUUUAUAAUUUGAGGUUAUAAGUUGAUAUCUGUAGAUGUGUUUUAUACAAUUAAGCAGUUUUUGAUUUAAAGGAACAAUUUUAUUUCCUUCUUUCUAACUAAUUUACUCAUUUUUUAUUCGUGUGACUAGAGAACAGUUACAAUGUGUGGGCUUUCUGGUUGUCUGUACUUACAGGCUCAUGGAACAUAUGUAACAUGUAUAAUGUUCUCAUUUCCACUGGGCAGUUCCCUCCCUAGAUACCAUGCUGGUGUUUGUUUUUCUGCUGAGAUCUCCUACAUUUUAAAUGCUUUCUCUGUUAUUCUUCCUGAAGGAACACUAUAUACUGUGCUGGAGCAAAUGACGCUUUUCUUCAGCUUCCCAGUUCAGACUUUGCACAUAGCAUUUCCAUUCCUUAUGCAGAUGAAUGAGCUCUUUUUUCGCUACUGACUGUGAAGGCCUUACCUUGUGGAAAGGAACAGGGUGGUGGAGAGGAAAUAUUUUGAGACCUCGCCUGACCUUAAACAGUUUGUGAAACUUGGAUUUUCUAAUGUUCAGUUUUUAUAUCUUUCUAAAUUUGGAUGCACCAUGGUCAAGAACUGAAGACCUAGUGAAUGGUGUGUCUUGAGGCACUGGGAGAGGAAUGAAAGAACCAAGCAGUGAGGUUUUGUGGAAAGUGCACGGGACGGGACAUUGCAGAACUAGAGCUUGGGGCCUGCCUGUGAAAAAUGCGGUUUGGUUGCCUCACUCUUGCGGGUGCAGUUGUACGGCAGCGGGCCAAGCAGGCGCUGCCCUGUAAACUGUGCAGCAGCUGCAGGACAGCUUCCUGUGCCCUCGGGUGCUGUCAGUUUCCUUUGUCUUCUAAGGGGUCUGUUGCCUCGAUCUCCUGAGAGUGAUUCUAGGGUUUAGAUGUACUUUUCAAACUGUCGUAACUGUGAAGCCACCUAUUUUAUUUGGGUUCAGCUAAAGAAAGAGGGAUCUGACAAUGCAGGGAAAACUAGCUAUUUUAUACUCAAGAUGGCAUGUGAGUCUUUGUUUCCUGUACAUACUAACAUAUAAGAUUUUAUACUGUGUACUUCAUGGGCGACUUAAAGAAAUUUCAGGAGUUGCUGUCGUGGCUCAGUGAUUAAUGAAUCCGACUAGGAACCAUGAGGUUGCGGGUUCGAUCCCUAGCCUUGCUCAGUGGGUUAAGGAUCCGGCGUUGCUAUGAGCUGUGGUGUAGGUCGCAGAUGCGGCUCGGAUCCCACGUUGCUGUGGCUCUGGCAUAGGCGGGCAGCUGCAGCUUCGAUUCAACCCCUAGCCUGGGAAUCUCCAUAUGCCGCAGGAGCGGCCCAAGAAACGGCAAAAAAAAAAUGACCAAAAAAAAUUUCAGAGGCAGCUUUAGGCCAAUUUGAUGUAUAAUUGAGAACAAGAUAUAACUCUACUUAGUGUCUUUGUUUCUCACCUUCAUCAUAUAUAAAAUGAGCUGGUAUAAGAUGAUCAUUUAGAGCUUUUCCACCCAUGUAGAGUUGUGAUGUGAAAAAAUAAAAAUCAGAUGUAAUAUAUUUGCAAGAGACACAAGACUAUUAAUUAGAGCUGUUAGUUACUGUCCCACAGCAGAGUGACUUUAAAGACUGGGAGUUGUUAGUCAUAUCUGACAUUCCCUGUUGUUGGAAUGAGCAGUCUUGUUUGGCCUGAACCUUUGGUUUGGGGAGAGAACACUGCUGUUCUUUAGAAUGAUCAGUGGGCCAGACUGAAAUAAACACCCUUUCUGAAUUGGCCGCUUGAGUGUAUUAGCUGCUGGAAGCACUUGGCUUGGAGCAACAGAGUGGCUGAGCUGCUUUCCCUUUGGAGCAAGUCAGGCUCUUAAACAGCUGAACAGGGGCCAGUCAUUCUAAGUCAGCUUUUCUUUCUCUUUUUACCUAUUUCUACUCCUAGAAUCUUCAUUGAUUAUCUGAGCCUUUGUUUUAUUGUCUGAUGCAGCUCAGUGGCUCAAUGUCUAAGUUCUUUAGAGGGUCAGACAUCUGACAGUUUGGCCACCCUGACAACAGGAGUAACAUCCUGACUCUUCUGAACAUGUUAGAACAGCGUGACUAUAGGAUGCUGGCUUCAUCAGACCGGCUGUGAUGUGCCUAAUGUUGAUAUUUCAUUUGGGCUCAUUCACUUUUAUAAGUGGCCAAAUAAAUUGGCCUAAGCUAAUUGGCAGAAGCUGUAACAUAACGUGCUAUCAGUAGUAACUUAAAAUCGGUUCAACUAGUGCAGUUAACUUUGGGGUCCUCCUUUUCCCAUAAGACAUAUUUAGCAAGUAACCAGAAAUGUGUAAUGCCUGAAAACCAGAGGGCAGUGGGGCUACAUCCAGUCAUAUAGCAGGGACCUCUGUUGUGGGCAAAAUGGUGCAGUUCAACAGGAAGAAGGCUUGCAUUUCCAAAGUGAUUUUUCUCAAGGGAAACGUUUAUUGAGCAGGUACAGAUUACUCUACUGCCUAAGUUGCCAGGACUUUACGAGAUAGAAGACAUCUCCCCUCCCCUCAAGGGCUCAAUGACUUGUAGAAAGUCACUGAUGUGUUUGGACCUUUCUGUACUUGUCUUCUCAGGGUGGAAGUAUUCAUUACCUCCAGAAGAAAGCCUGUCAGAUAUCACUAAUAGUGCUGUGAUCUUAGUCACAGUUCUGGCCUCCUUACCAAGACAGGGCUGCCGAGAUCAAAUUUGGACUCGAGUGAGAAAUAGAGACACCCACCCCCAGCAGGGGUGAAUGGGCCCUGUUUCAGCCAGCCGGGCCCCAGAGAGCAGGUCUCUUUAAAACUGAGAAGGGAGAAUGGGCAGAAGAAUAAAGGAAGCACACUUCUGAGGCCCGGUGAGAUCAAGUCUCAAGCAAAUACAGAUACUACAGUGUGCCAAAUUGCCGGGCUUGGAGAGCAGAGGUGUCUCUGGACUGUGUUGAAGAAGAGAAGGGCUCAAGCAGGCCGCUUGGCAAAGGUGGAGCAGAGGGCAGCAAGUAAGAGCUCAGGCUCUGGUGUUUGGAUGACUGGAGUGCCAAUGCUCGCUCUCUACAGGAGAGCUGUAUGUUCUUGGACCAACCACUGAAGCCCCUGCCCCCUUUACUCUAACCUUUUAGGUAACAAUACACAGCACAAUGAAUCCAUCGUGACGUGGGCCUUAAGUCAGAUAAUGCAGACAGGCCUGGCACAGAGGAAGGGCCCAAUAAAUGCCCAUUGUUAUCAGUACGGAAGUGAAAAAAUGAAAUGCUUCAAGUUGAGAUUUAGCAAUCAGCGUGAUCAAGUGAGGGGAUAAGAGAAAGGAAGUAAGAAGGGGCAAAAUGGACCUAAAAGACAAAGAGUCCCCCAAAUUUUCCUAAGUGGAGGGUGAGUACAUGCCAAGAGCUUUCUAACCCAGCCUGGAUUGAGAGGCACAAGGACAGACGUGCUGGUGAUGGAGUCUAUUCACUGACUAGUUCAUUGUUAGUGAAUUGCAAGUGACAUCUGUUAGUGAUGAGUUUUAAAAACAUCAUGUUCUUUAGUCACAGAAUUAUUUAUUGCCCUCUAGAUAUGUCAGAUUUUAAUUUUUUUUUUCUUUUUAGGGCCACACCCAUGGGAUACAGGGGCCGAAUCGGAGCUGCAGCUGCCGGCCUAUGCCACAGCCACAGCAACGUCAGAUCUGAGCCGUGUCUGGGACCUACACCACAGCUCAGGGCAACACUGGAUCCUUAACCCACUGGGCGAGGCCAGGGAUCAAACCUACAUCCUCAUGGUUCCUAGUUGUGUUCGUUACCACUGAGCCAUGACGAGAACUCCUCAGAUUUUAAUUUUUUUACAAAGUUUUUGUUUGGUUGGUUUUUUUGUUUGUUUGUUUUUUUUGUUUGUUUUUUUUAAUGAGAAAGGGGAGUUGUGGAUCUAAUCCUAGAAGACUGAGGAGAGGGGAAAUCUGAACAUUGAUUUCCGCUCAGUGCUUUUGUCACUGAGAACGGGGGGGAAGACAGAGACAGAUCACAACUCAUUCGAGCAGGUAAGCUGGGUGCUGUGUUGGCUUUCUGUGAAGUGAUAAGCUUUCUCACUCGGAAAAUGCUACAAUCCUCACGACUCCCCAUGGGGUGGGUAUGUCUGAUGCUUUCAUUUUCCACAUGAGUAAAAUGGCAGGCCAGAGAGGUUACACACGCGAAGAAAAGCAUGUUGCCCUCCAUUCCAUUUCUACAAGGACCAAGCCAUUAGCCCCUGCAGCCAUAUACCCCGAGGGGAAUUUAGGAUGGAGAAAAACAGGGAACAUGUUGGACUUUGGGUACUGGCCCUAAAUAGUUAAGAUGUAUAUCUGGGGAAUAAUUUCAAUGACCUCAUCUUCUUGCUUCUUCCCAUAGGUAGAAAAGCACUAAAAUCAUUAACUUGAGAUGCCUGUUGUGAUUAGCAGUAAUCUUUUGAUGUUUGACUACCUGUUUCUUUUUCCAGAAAAAAAAAAUUCAUAUAUAUCCUGGCUCCUCCCUUAACUCUCUGAGCAGUUCUUCUUUUAUCUGAGAGGCUGUCUCCUGGGCUAUAGUCCUCAGUGAGUUUCCCGCAUAAAACAUGACUCACACCUUUUAUAUCCGGCAACACACAACUUGCUCAAGUCUAGUGAGGGACAAAACUAGAUUCAAACUCAGUUCUACCCUACUUCCAACUUGGAUCCUGACCCUUUCUGCAAUGUCACUGUCCUGGUGGUGGCAGCCAGAGGCUGGCAGGUUGUGUGGAUCUGUGUCUUGACAUGGGCAUUGGUGGCAUUGCAUGGAUCCUAUCAGAAAAGCAUCCAGUCUGCACCCUGCUGCUGGCUGCACAGACCCAGGCUCUCUUUGCAAGCUGGUUGAGAGGGGUGGGGUCUCUUCAUGUGGCGGGAAUGGGGCAGACCCUCAGGAGCCCAGUGAUGGUCUCCGGAUGUGGACCUGUGAUACCGCUCCUUUGGGUCUUCUGAAUAAUUCUGCAGUGACCCUAGGAAGGGAUGCCUGCACUGGCUCCCCCUCAGUGCUGAGCUAAGCCUGCAUCAGAGCUGGCGCCGUCUCACUCCUUGAUUUCCACCAUUGCCCUAGCAGUGCAGCUAAGUCCAAUGUGGCUGCCUGUCUGCCUUUCCCUGGGGGCAGGAAUGCUCUUUCAGCUGGGUAAGUCUGUGUGGGCUCAGGCACCCUCCUCUUCACCUGUCUGUAUCCCAGAGCGUAGAGGUUUUCAAGCUACUCACUGCCUCUGAAACUUCAGGGGCUACUGUGGGAACAGGGGGCCAUAGGUACUGGGGGAAGGGCCCAGGCAGCCAGGGCUCUGGGCCACCAUGCCCUCUUCCAUCUAUUUUAUGCAUUGAUUCUCCUAAGAUUUAGUUUCUCCUAAGAAAAGGUUUUGUUGCAUAAAAAACAUUCUUUGCAAACCCAACCCUGGAGAAGUUGAAAGCUGAGAGACCCAGAUGGGUGCUGACCUGGCCCAAAGUCAGCCCAGCUCUUGGAGAACCUGGAAAUGCUGACUUUUAAAAUGCCCCUAGUUUCCCUGGUACCGUAUGAUCUGCCUCUGUAGCUCUUCUCAUGGAAAUGUUAGCUUGGCCUCAAAAGGCUGCAAGAUCUGUAGGUUCCUGGUACCAGGCCCUACUUAUGGCCUGGGUGUGGGCUGAGCUCUGGGCUGUGUCUGGACGGCUGCGGAUGUUGGGCAGCCUGGGUUUAGGUAGGUGGCUGGGCACAGAUGCUCAGCCUGUAUCCUCACAGGCCUGUAUGUGGGGGUGGGGUGGAGGUGGAAGGUGUUAGCCUCCAUGGUGAUUAAAGUCCAGAAAGGCAGAGUGGAAAGUGGCAUAUGAAAUAGCCCUAGGUUUAGACAAACAAAGACAGGGUCUAGGCACUGGUCAGGAAUCCAGCAGGUCAGAAAGGUCAGGAGCCAACAGGGAAGCAGGUUUCAUGACAUCAAACUCAAGCAUCACUUGGCUGUAGAGGCUGUUUUGUUUUUCCAGCUGGAGCUGCUUUGCUGCCUCUCUUGCCCUGGCAGGAGCUAGCAUCUGAAUGAGACUUGCUGAAGGCCUGCAGUGAAGGGCCACUGAGACAGCAGAGAGAGAGAGAGGGAGUGAGUGUGUGUGUGCACCUGCGUUGAGGAGGUUAGAGAUAGAGAGGAGGUGAAAUCACUGCCAGAAGCAGUUCCUGACCCUGGGUAUCCCUGAGACUUUUUACACGUCCCAGUGUUCAAACCAUCCUGUUGAGUUCCCCAGAAAGCCCCUGACCCUCCAUAUCUAUGCCAUUCUCCUAUAAAUGGUAAAUCUUAGCUCUCUUGAUGGACACAGGUGCUGUCCCAGGCUAUGGUAGCACAUUAGAAGGGCUUAGAGGACUUUCAAGGCAGAUGGGAUGAUAGCGAUGAGAAUCACAAUGGAGGCAAAACAAACACACACCAGACUCAAAUCUAAAACAGGGGACUGAGCUCUGUACACCAGCAGAGGGUGGAUACUUACAAGAUGAUAGAAUCCUAAAGUCAAAGGGCCCUUAGAGCCCAGCCCCUCUUCCACAGCAUGGAGUCUGCCUCUGAUGUCCCUGACAUGGUCAUCUGGCUUGUGCUUCUGGGGACAGAAACACCAAGACCACGUGUGGCCCCCGUUUCAGACCCUCCCCCACCCCCAACUGCCCCCCCGCCCGAGACAGCAUCUCCUUUAUGGUGCUUUGUCUCUGGUUCUGGCUUGGCCCUUUGCACCUGGUGUGUUGAGCUGUAGAAGCCGAAAAUCAUGGCCCUCUUGAGGCUUCUCUGCCUUCCUCAUGUGACUCAGCUUCCAGAUUUCAGACAACCUGGCUACCCAGCUCUGAAUGAAUUCCUUAUCCAGAAUUGAUGUGCUGGACACACAUUUAUUAAUUGAGCAGAUGUCAGUCCAUACUGGCCAGCAGUUAAGGGUGCCAGUUCUAGGAUCAUGCAAUCCUGGGUUCAAGUCCUUGCUUUACUGCUCACUAGCUGUGUCACCUUGAGUAAGUUACUUAACCUCUCUGAACUUCAGUUUCCUCCUCUGUAGAAUGAAGAUAAAAAUGAUGGGCACUUUACAGAGGAUCAAAGAUACAGAGUGCAUGGAAAGGACGGCAUGUGGUAAAGGCUCAGCAUUUCAGCAGCCACCUCGAUCAGAGAGCUGACUCAUACCGAGUCUCUACCCAGAUAAAAGCCAAGGGUCUUUUUUACACAACUGCUACGCUUUAUCCUAUUAAACUUCAUUUUGCCAGUUCUAGUCCAUUCUCAUCCUGGCAACAUUGAUUCUGUCACUGUACAGUAGUCUGAGCAGUUCUGAUUCAUCUGCAGAUCCAAUAACGUGCCUCUUCUAUUUUCAUCUGUGCUUUCUUUCCAGUGCAGUGCCAAUAGAUUACUCAAGAUUCUUUAGGUUCAAGUAUUCAACCAGCACUCAAGUUAUUCAACUGUGCUAUCAGCCAGCCCACAUUGGCUCCUCUGAGUCAGAAACUUUUAUCCCUGGAACUAUUGAAGCCUCAAAAGAAAAAGUUAAAUUAUGGUCAACACCUUCUGUUUAAAAGGCCAGGGAAAUUAUAAAGCCUUAAGGAAAGACCUCAGUCAAAAAGUGGUCAGUAGAAAGUUUGGGCAUUCGACAAGGUGAAUUUCAUUUAUCUAGAAAAUGAGGCAUUACUGCAGAGGGUCUUCUGUGAAGCUAUGCACACAGUGAACUCUUACUACCUAGGGACUGGCAAGUCAUCACUGUAAAACGCAACCGUUUACACGCACACAUCCAGCCCCAGGGGGAAGCUCAAAGCAUUAGCUACGAGAUUCAAGAGGGCAGUAAUUACAUAUUUUUUCAUUUUUGUCAGCUGCAAGAUAUCUGUAACAUCCCAUAUGGCAUGUGGUAGAUAGGGACUCAGAAAAUAUUUCUCUGAAUGUUAACUGAAUAACCUGAGGGACAAAAGCCACAGUUUCAGGGUCACACUGAUCUCAUUUUCAUGCAUUCCUUCAUAGGGAGAGUACACGUGAUGGACCAUCAAGAAACACGACAAGUCACAGAGGGCGUGUGAGAGUGGCCCACGUGUAUAAAACAUCGUAAAUUUUAGAUAGUGUGAAUCUUGGUAUAGAGAGGACAUGUCUGUAGCAAGUUUAUAUCUGAUUUAUUUCAGUACCAUUUAAAGGACAAAGAUAUCAGGGGGCUCUGAGGGAAGGGAACAAUGCUUUUAGCUGAGGUUUUUGGAAAGGCUUCACUGAGCAGGGUAGGAUUUUAACAGCUACCCAAGUAGCUGGGCCUGAGUCCUGGCAGGGGGCUGGGCAAGCACAAGGUGGGUUUGGGGAGGGACAAGGAGAUGAUUUGUCCAGAGUAGGGGCUCCUGUAGACCCCGGCCUUGCUUGUCCUGGGAACCUGUGACAUGGGCUGGUGUAGGGGUGAAGUCGGUGGUAUGGAUAAUUUCUUUAUUUGCAAAGGUAACUGGCUCACAAAGGCUAUAACCCAUGUCCUCUCCAUGAUGGGCAUUCCCUUUAAUCUGAGUGUAGAAGUCUAGCUAAACAGAUUCUAUUUGCUCCCUGUAGCCCAGCUGUUAAGUAACAUCACCAGCCAAAGCCACUUCAGCAAACAGAUGAGGUGGGAUUUCUCACCUCAAAAGAUAAAAUUUGCCCCCGGCUCCUCCAAUGCUUUCCAGCUCUAGCCCCAGCCAUAGCAACACCUAAUGCUGGGACAGUCUUUAUUUUCUCCUCACGAAGGCAUGUUGCCUUCACAAACGACUGCCUCCCUAGAACUAUAAGGUAGGCCUUCUAGGUUGUGCAGAUGGGUGGGCCCUAGGAUGAAUUGUUGCCUAGCAACAUCCCCAGUGGUGGAGAAGCUGAUUGGCCCACCUAUCUGUAGAUCCCCCUGCAGGAAGCCCCUGGGAAAAUAGUCAUCUACUUUAAGGCAAGGCAUGCUGCUGGCUUUUGAGCUGCCUGUAAUGAAAUACAUAGUAUUUUAAUGAAUAUUACUUAAGUUUCUUUCUGUAACUUUAGUUUUUUCUCUACUCUCUAUUUCACCCCCGCCCCCCAUUCACUGGCUUUUGCUUUCACAAUUUUAAAGAGAAAUCUGCAGAACAAGUUCCUAUGUUUUUCUUAAGAAAAGUUAUAUUUAAGGUUGGUUGUUCUUUUAGGCACACACACAGACCCAGAAUACCUGUUCUCUUUCCACAAAGGAAGAGGAACAAUUGAAGCGAUUGCCUAGUGCUUCAGGCCCCAGGCUAGAUUUUAUGUGGGCCCUCAGGGUAUUGGUUUAGGACCCAUCUCCAGGCAUCAGAGCACUGCUGAGGGUUUGGGGAUCCUGUCUUAUGGGAGAGUCUGAGAUUACUAUGACUACUCCGUGCCGACAAACAAAUAAAUAAAUGUACCAGCAACCCCCAAACCAAAAUGCCCUGCAAAAUAAGCAAACCAAAGCUGGCCAGUUGAGUCCAUCCAGUAGGAUAGCCUGUUAAUUUGUAGUCAAGUACAGCAAUUAGGGGAUGGCUUUGCACUGUCAAGAAACAUCCUACUACCCAUGGUUGAGGCAUUCCACAGACCAGGUUUAAUUAUUCCUUCCUCACAGCACAGAUGCCCCAUUCUUACCAUUAACCUGCCAUGAAGCUACAUAAUACUUGGAGUGUUUUUCUUAGGGUGCAGUAAGCAAGUACACAGACCUUGACAGCUAUGAGUUUGAGUCCAGUUCUCCUAUUUCCUACUUCGUGAUCUUGGAUAAGUUUCUUAACUCUGAACCUCUCACCCCAUCUGUGGAAUGGACAUAUUAAUAUCUAUUUUGUAGCGAUCUUGGGAGUAAUAGCAGAUACAGCUCUUCUGGUUCUUAGUAGGCUCUCAAACAUUGGUUCCCUUUCCUCUUUCUUCUGUGCCUCUGUCCUUGGCUAACCUCUCCCAUUCUGUCUUCUUCAGAAACCCUAAGCAGAGACCAGGUGCUAUAAGGAGAGCGUCCAGAGGAACUAGGUGUUAAUGAAUGAGGACCGUUCUUCCUCUUGCUCCUGGUUUCUGGCUGUGAUGUUCUUCUUUUCUAUCUGUGGUUGGCUUAAGUGUUUGCCCUGAAAUUUGACACGACCCUGGACUUCAUGUUGCCAGUAUCUGUUAGAGCUGUAAGCAUGCCAUAGAGAGAAAGCGUGAGCAGAGGGCAGACUCUAGGCAGGCAGCAGUCAAGGAGAGAUCAUCUCGAAUGGGAGAAGAAGGGACAGAAAUGUUUUUUAGACAAAGUCAACGAAGACCUUGUCAGGACUUGGGGAAACACGGUCUGUCUCUCUGGCCACAAGCAUUUAUCGAGCACCUACUCAACAUGGGCUCAACGUUUACCAUGAGAUUCCAAAGACCCAGGAGGCCUGAUUCCUGCCCUUUUGUGCUUAUUGUCUAAGUGGACAAUCAGAAGACUGAGAACGAUUAACAGCAGUCUUGCUGACUGUGCCCCGUCAUACGGUUGCUAAAGGGUUUCAGGCUGAAGGAACAAUUGGAUGUGGUUAAUUAAAAGGCUUCAUGAAAGAGGCAGUUUGAGGGAGAGGAGAGUCAUGGAUGGAUGGAAAGGAGCUCAGGAUCCAGCAGAGCAGGCACCAAGGCUUAAUGUUAAGGAGUGGUUCGGAGGGUGAGAGAAGCCCCUCCUCCAGUGCUUUGUGAAAUCUCCCUUCACCGGCCCAGCAGGGACCGAGCAGGGGGCUGGCCACGAGUGGUCUAACCUCGUUGGAUCGGAGGACUCCGAAGAACGGGUAGAGGAAGGCAGGCACCAGGGCUGCAGCUCCAAGAGGCACCGCCUCGGACACCCAGUACACAGCAGUCACGAUCAACACAUAAGCACACGCAGCCUCCUGGAAGGGGAAGAAAGUGGGCAGUUAGUCACAGGAACAGCCACUGCCCCUGAGAAUCCAAAGGAGACCCAGGGCAGAGGUACCUGGACUCAGACAUGGGCACUGGGUCACAGUCCUGGAAGGUGCAAAGCUGUAUUAGGCAGAGGAGUUUGGUGGGUGAAGUUAUGGCAGCUCCUUGGGUGGAUUGAUGCCUGGCACGUGGUUUGCAUUGGUUUGCAACAGGGUGGCCACAGGACUGUUACGCUAUCAUUGCCCCACUGGUUCCUGAAACUGAGCAGGGCAGGGACUGAAAUUAAUUGCAAUGUCCAGACCCAAGAUCAUGUACUAUACAGGCGAUGAUCACAGCUUUGACUUGGUCGAAAUAGAAUAUUUUGGUUUCAAGUUGAUUAGACACUAGGUUCUUAGGAUAGCUAAAGGUAGGGAUUAAAUUGUGUAAUUGGCAGCUCCUGUCAUGGCUCAGCCAUUAAUGAACCCGACUAGUAUCCAUGAGGAUGUGGGUUCGAUCCCUGGCCUCGCUCAGUGGAUUAAGGAUCUGGUGUUCUCAUGAGCUGUGGUGUAGAAUGCAGAUGUGGCUUGGAUCCGGCACUGCUGUGGCUAUGGUGUAGGCCAGCAGCUGCAGCUCUGAUUCGACCCCUAGCCUGGGAACCUCCCUAUGCUGUGGGUGUGGCCCUGAAAAUACAAAAAAAAAAAAAAAUUGUGUAAUUGGUUGACAUAUGGGUUCUGAAAUUGGCUCAUUUGGGGCUGGAUCAUUCUCUGUGUGUGUGUGUGUGUGUGUGCUGUGCUGUGCAUUAUGAAAUGUUUAGCAGCACCCCUGGCUUCUACCCACUAGAUGUCAGUAGUACCUCCCCAAUUGUGACAACUAACACUGUUUCUAGACUUUGCUAAAUGUCCGGGGGUGGGGAGGGGAGGGAUUAUCGGUGGUUGAAAACCAGCGCCCUAACCAGUGUCUAGGACUUCACCCCACGUGCUCGAUGCACAUGGGAACAUCUUUCUGACAAAGGGAGUAAAGAGCACCAUCCACCUGGAAGGGAAGUCCUGGACCUUCCCCAGAGUCUUCCCUUUGCUGGUUGUGUAACAUUGGGGUGCACACAAUAAAUAAGUACAACAUUCUUUUAAAAAAAAUCAGUCCUUAACCUUAUCCCCCAGUAAUGCUGGUUAACCGUUAAUCAGCAUCUGGAAUGGUGCUGAUUAGCACUGAUGAGAAGGGUCACUGGCUUACUCUCGGGAGAGGUCACUGUCCAAAGGGCUUGAACACUGGAUUCUGGAGGGCCGCUGUGCAGAAGAUCCAAGCUGCCUGUGGAUUCCUCCCUUUAUACCUACUUCUAAACCAUCUGGGCUCAGGUCUGACCUGCCUGGAGGCUGGCUGGUGAUCAAGGAACCUGACAGAUCUAGUUCUGUUUAUCUCUCCCUUGGGUUCGGAACACGCGUCCUCAGACUCUUAGACAAAAGUUUCAAAAGGUCACCGAGAUCAGUGAGGGGCGUCAGGAGGGAUUAACCCAGCCUGGCAGGAUGGGACCUUGCUCCCUCCUGAUAUGCAUGGAUUAUGGGGUUGGGGGUUGAGAAAUGGGAACUGGGCCCAACAAUUGUUGACUGUGGCUCCCACUGAGAUUUCCUCUGGGGCCAAAAGAUCAGAGAGAAGUUAAAACUUUUGGAAGUGCUGAUAAGACAACAGAAGCAAUAGUGGGGGGUGUGUGUGGGGGAAAUAAAAAGCCUCCAUUUGGAAAAGAAUGCAAUUUAGAGAAAUGUUCCCUUUAUCGCAGAAAUAAAAAUACCUAAAGAAGCCCUAAGCACUUAGCCCACUUGAGCUCACUUUUCCCCAUCUCCUUCCUGGGAAAGAGACAGAACAGGGGUGGGGGGUGGGAGUCUUGAUUCCAGUUGAACAAAAUGAGAUAGAAUGUCUUUCCCUCAUUGAGAAGUCCUGUGCCUUCCUGAGAGCCUUCAGCCUUUCUUGGCUUGGGCAUCACAGGUCCAGGAGUGGAGGGAGGGGAGUGGGGCAAGAGAGAGGGAGAGGGAGAGGGAGAGAGGGAGAGGGAGAGAAAGGGAACGAUUUCCUGCUACUGUGCACCAUUUUGGUUUGAAUUAGGAGAAUUUGGGUUAAGUCAGGGUAAACUUUGUUUUGUUUUGUUUUUUCUAGGGCCAUACCUGAGGGAUGCGUCUACGACCUACACCACAGCUCAUGGCAACGCUGGAUCCUUAACCCACUGAGCAAGGCCAGGGAUCAAACUCGCAUCCUCAUGGAUACUAGUUGGAUCCAUUUCCACUGCACUACAAUGGGAACUCCCUUUUGCUCCUUUUCAACCUUCUCAAAAUUCGGUAGGUAAGCUUAUAUUCACAUAACUCAGGAUAUUCUGUGAAGUUUGAUUGCAGGGAUGCUGUCCCCCCCGCGUCUGGCUGGGGUCUGGCAGAGAGCUCAGUCAAAGCUGCCUGAACUGCGCUGGGCCCGUCUGCUGGCUACCAGGUCUCUGUUAUCUACUGGAGAAAAUCUUCUGGAGACCCCCGGCCCCUUAUCACUGCCACUGGUCUGCAGGUGUGUGGGGCUGGUGUGUAUUCAGGCCUUGAAGGGAUAAUGUUGUCAUUUCUUCUUUUUUGCUCCCGUUUACAAAUAAAGGAGUGAAUUCAAAGUGGCAUUUCCCCAGACGGCCUAUUUCCUGACUCUGCUGCUAACUAAUGUUUGCAUCUGCUCCUUCCUUUCCCCACAGUCGGAUCACCUUGAUGAAAUCCCCUCAGACUUACUGGGAAGGAGCUGGAGGUUUGUUUAUUUGGUGCUGUAAAUGAUAGAAGGGCUUCUUAAAAUUUGGCUUGGGAAGUUCCCAUUGUGGCUCCGCAGUAAUGAACCCAACUAAUAUCCACGAGGAAGUGGGUUUGAUCCCUGGCCUUGCUCAGUGGAUUAAAGAUCUGGCGUUGCCAUGAGCUUCAGUGUAGAUCACAGCCAUGACUUGGAUAUGGUGUUGCUGUGGCUGUGGUGUAGGCUGGUAGUUACAGCUCUGAUUCGACCCCUAGGCUGGGAACUUCCAUAUGCCACAGGUGCGGCCUUAGAAAGUGAAAAAUAAGUGAAUUGGCUUGGGAGUUGGGUGUACCUUUUAUGUCACAGGGGCACCGAGGCAGCGCUUAGUCAUGGGCGCCCCCUCUUGGCCUCCCCUUCUGUAAUAUGGGAACCGAGUCUGGGCCUCUGGUCUUAGAGGGUUGGGUAGGAAAAAGGGGAAGGUCAUUCUCAUUUUUCCUAAAAUGCGCUGUGGCUUUUGUCACGUUGAAGAGCCAUCGAAACUACAGGCUGGGAGUUCCUGCCCAGGUCACUUCUCUCAGCUCUAGCCCAUUUAGGAAUCUUAAAGAUUAAAUAUCAGAAUCUAAGUCCAUUUAGGAAUCUUAAAGAUUAAAUAUCAGAAUCUAAGUGUGACGAUGCAAGAGGUCCAGGCUCCUUGGUGCUUUGUGCCUGCUGUAGGAAUGGUGGCCUCAAGGUGCUUCCACAUCGUCAUAGAGGGAGAGGAGCAGUAUCUUGUUGACACUGGACAAACGGAGAAAUUGUCUUUGCAUCUGCCUCCAGCCCUGAGGGCUUCGGCCACCUAGGCUCCGUCUAGCUGCCCCAAGGGCUGUGGGGUCAAAGGAGCUACCCUCCACUAACCCAUGUGCAUACACUGGGAAACUCUGAGGUAUCACAUUUCUAUUUUCUUGAGGCCCUGGUUCUCAACUGGGGCUGAUUUUGUCCCCCAGGGUAUACUUGGUAAUAUCUGGAAGCAUUUUUUUUUUUUUUUGUCUUUUUAGGGCCACACCUGCUGCAUAUGGAGGUUCCCAGACUAUGGGUCCAAUCAGAGCUGUAGCCACUGGCCUACACCACAGCCACAGCAAUGGAGGAUCCAAGCCAUGUCUGUGACCUACACCACAGCUCACGGCAACGUCGGAUCCUUAACCCACUGAGUGAGGCCAGGGAUCGAACCUGGGUCCUCAUGGAUACUAGUCGUGUUCAUUAACCCCUGAGCCAUGAUGGGAACUCCCUGGAAGCAUUUUUGACUGUCACAGUUGCUGGGGGAGAGGGAGCAUGUGUGCUAGGGGCAUCUAAUGGGUGGAGACCAGGGAUGCUGCUAAAUGUCCUACAAUCACAGGACGGCCUCCCCCCAUGACAAAGGAUCAUCCCCCCCUCCAAACCAAGUGUCACCAGUGUGGCUGCUGAGAAGCCCUGCCCUAAGGAGAAACUCAGUGUGAAAGAAGGGGCGGGGUCAAGGAAGGCCAGUGUCUCCUGUUCUUAGCAGUCCAACUUUAAAAAUCUCUUCAAAAAUUAUUCGUAGAGCCCAGCAGAGCAGAGGCUCACCUUUCCUUCCUUUUCACUCCUCUUUUUUCCCACAUAUCCCUCUUUUGUCACAUUUAUAGAUUACUUUGCCUGCUUUGAUGGAUGACUUGUUAUUUUACUUUUUUCUUCUUGUGGAUACUUCUCACUAGUCAUUGGUAACCAAGAAGCUCAAAGACAGACUCCCAGAAUGAGAGGAGUCUGGACCAUGGUCCCCAAAGAUGGAGCUGGCUUAGGGGACACAGGGCUGCCUGAUGCUGCCAUGGAGAAGAGCAGGUGCCACUGGGUUAGCAUUCCCUUAAUCCAUCUGACAUUGAGUAAAAAACAAAAACAAAAACAUGAAAAGAAAAAAAAAAAAAAAACUCAGCCUAUUUGGACAAAGCAGAAAAUUGAGUCGUGUGCAAGGCCAGGAACACUGUCAGCCCGAAUCACUGUCUGCUAAUCCCAACCCGGUUUUCAUCAGUGACUCCCUGGCAUUCUGAGGUAUUUAUUCUACUAAAGAUUUAAACCAGUUUGUUUUUAAGAAACAUCCUAAUCCCUUCUAACUGUGUAAUUUAAUCUUGGUUACUAAGUUACUAAGGGAACUGAUUUCUCCCCCCACAAAAACGAUUAACCCCUCUUAGCUUCUUUUUCCUAAAGUCUCAAGGGUAGUGCCAGCUGGGGGAAGGGGUAAGGACACAGGGAGAAGGAGGAGGAAUGGGAGGAGGAGGAAGGGGAGGAGGAGGGGAGGAGAAGGAGGAAGGGGAGGAAGAGAAGGAAGAGGAAGGGGGGGAGGGAGAGAAGGAGGAGAAAUGGGAGGAGGGGUGGGGGGAGGGAAGGAGGAGGAGGAGGAGGAAGGGAAGGAGGGGGGGGAGGGGCGGGAGAGAAGGAAGGAGAAAGGCGGCAAAUGAUGGUCCUAGAAGUGGAGCCAGCGCUGUGGAACUUCUGCUCACACGAACCUGGACAAAAAUUGGGUCACAAUCUAGAGUUGGAAGCUCUUGAUUCUUUUUUAUGGAGGCAUUUGUUGUGUCUCCUUCAAGAGCACAGAGAAAACUCAGAGGAUGCAGAUAAUCCAAGGGCCAUAUGCAUGGGACCAGGGCAGGCUGCCAAGCUCUCCUUUCAGCUUAAGGUUCAGAAGGAUCGGGAGAGAUGAAGAGUUUCAAAUUCUGGUUAUCAGAGCCCACCAUGGUCGCCCACAGACCCUGGCUAGAUGCGCAAGGAUCCCAGCCCACCCCACCCCAGGCCAGGGGCCACAGUCCCUCCAUCCCCCAUCCUCCUCCUCAGCAUCUACUGGGAGGUCUUCCUGUCCAGGCGCUCUCCCACACCGGUGAGCCCCCACAUGGCAAACAGGGGCUCUCCAGAGCGUCCUCCUCCUUAUUGGGGUGUCCGCCUGGCCCUGCAUCCACAGCAGGCUGCCCACUGCUCUGUGUCCCACACAACUGCUCCUCCAGCCACUGCCCCUCCUCUAAUCUCCCUCCUGGCUGGGGGCCGUGGGGUGGCCCAUGCAGAAUGGGGGAGAGGGAUGACAAUGGCAGUUUUUAGGCAGAAAGUAUGUCAGCCUCCUCCAGGAAAGCAUUUCCACUUCUUUCCACCAACAGAAAACCACGCCGAGCUUGGCAAACACCCCACUCCCUCCACCGACCCCAACAGGUGGGGUCGGGGGGACAGGCCGGUACUCACGCUGCUGGGAUGGAGCACCGGCAGAGGCAGCAGCAGGAGCGGCACCAAGAUGAUGAGCAGCAGCUUCCUGGCUCGGAGAAGGCCCUUCAGCAAGCCCAUCCUGGACCUCGAGUCGCCUCCUCCCCCUCGGAGCCUUCGCGCCAACCAAGUGCCUGGACUGCUUGCGAUGCUCGCCCCCAGUCAGAAAGACUUCUCCAACCUUUCUUGGCUUCCAAGAGUCCUCUGGCCUCUCCAGGGCAGAACAGGAGGGCAGGUACAGGCCCUGUUUGCACCACAGGCUGGGCUUCUCACCUCCUGUUUUAGGUGGGAUUGGCGAGCAUAGUUUUAUGCCCGGCCAAAAGGAAGCGGGGAAGGAUGCUAAAUGGGCACAUAAUGGCUCCCUCUUUGCUUGAUCAGUAAUGGAGUAACUUCAUGCUAAAGCGCAGCCAAAGCCCCCUUAAGCAAUCUAGAUUAUUCCUCUGCUGCAGCUGUUUGGUUUUGAAGAAGUCAUUUAAGAGCUUUAAAAAAAUUAAAAAUACCGAACACCUCCAUAAUCUUCCUCUCUCUAAUGGCCUGUUUGGGGCAUUACCACUUCCUCUUUCUACCUGUGCUGGCUGUGCCCCCUUCCCUUUAAAAAAAACAAAGCAAAUAGACAAACAAAAAAAAGACACAAAAAAUUAUCUAGUCCCUUCUUUCUUUAAAACAAACCCCGAGUUUGUCAGCACAGGAUGCAGACUUCAGGUAGAGCUGGUCUCCUCUCCCAGGACCUGGCACCUUAACUCUGUGCAAAUUUCUUUCCUUCUGAUUGAUUUCCCAUUGUAAUUUGCCUUGAGCCUGGGCCUCCAAAGCAGGAAAAAAGUCCCCAAGACAUUCCUUUUUGUCACGGGACAAAAUCUUGCUGGAGGCCCACCUUAACUUUCCUUCACCUAUGGGAAGCAGGACACAGGCGGUGGCCCCGCCCAUUCCUCACAGCCAAUCACCGCGUUGGAAAGAAUGAGUCAGUAUCUCUUCCAAAGGCAGUUCAGGAUUGGUCCCAGCAGGGGCCUGCUGAUUUUGCAGAACCUAAGCAACUUGCAGAGCUUAUUUUUGUUUCUCAAACGUCCCAGGGGCUGGAGUGAUGGCCAUCUUUGUAAACAUAAUCCCACUUCCCCGAGCACUGCUUCAACAUUUCAGAGCAUAGGACACCGAUCUUUCUCUGGGAGGGCCACUUGCUGACCUAGUCCUUAGGAAGAUAUGUCUGGUUGCAGGGAGAAAAUGAAGUAUUAAUCCUGGAGAAAUUGGCCCCAGAGUACACAAUAUUAAGUCUUUUGGACUUCCCUGGUGGCCAAGGUCCUUGGCAUGAGCACCUGGGUGAAUACAAAGCAUCUGAGUCAGCAGAGGAUGUUAUGUCAGAAAGACCACAGGCCUUUUAGGAAGAGUGGAAGGGAACUGCCCCUCUGGAAAAGUCUAAAUGCCAGUCUCGUUUCAGAGACGCAUGAAACCCAGAUGCCAAUGGUCUUUUGGGCUGGAGUAAAUGUUCGUAGGCUCCUCUCUGAGGCUCUUUACCAAAACGGAAGGCUUCUUUUGGCUGGUAUGGAAGGAGAAGGUGGGAGGGCAGGAAAAAAAAUGGGUGGUUUCAGGUAUAGGGCCUUUUCAGCCCUUGGACUCUGGAAUUUCUGCUGCUUACAGAUCAGGAGAAGCAUUUGUCUUUUCUCAGAAAGGUCAUGUGGAUCCGGGGCAAAGAAGAAAGAAAAAACAAAAGGAAACCCCCCACACUUUUAUAACUGGUGGUCCUUGGCAGCAUUGCCUCCAUCUGAGAGAUGAUGAGCAGAGUCAAGGGUUAUGAAAUGCAUGUUCUCUUGAACUCACAGAAUGCAAGGAAUGGCAUUUCCAGGUCUGCAGCUAUGCCAGUUGGAAAUAAUCCCCAGGCUAAAGGCAAAGUAACUCCAGAAAGGUGACUCCAUAAAACGCGUUCUUCUUGACCUCUAAGGCAGGAGCACCUGUGGACAGCCCUGGUCCCCUUUGAAACUGGCUUGUCAUUGUAGGCUGAGCCUCCAUGAUUUGUCUCUUUGAAUGCAUAUUCAGGACUGGCUACCAUAUUUGCUAUAUUCGGGCCUCAUUUUUGUGAUGAUUUUAAAACUCAGAAUGAAUGCUACCACGUGUGUGAUGUCUUGGUGGCAAACAUUAAAAAGACUGGAUGAAAAAUAAACAGCUGUGGAAGUCAGCAUUUGCUGUCAAACCCAAGGGCCACUUCACAUUCCUUGGUGAGAUAAUCUGAGAUAACAAAGAUUCCAUUGAGCCUGGAAAUUCCAUCAGGACAUUUUUAUUACAUCAUAAGUGAAUAUUUGUUAAAUAAAAUUACAUCAGGUGAGUGGCACAGUAGGACCAGUAGUUCUCUUUUAGAACUCUAUCCAUUUUCCAGUUAAAGAAAACAUUUUUUUUUUCUUUUUAGGGCCACACCUGAGGCAUAUGGUGCAGCAGCUGGCCUACACCACAGCCACAGUGACACCAGAUCCAAGCCACAUUUGUGACCUGCACUGCAGCUUGCAGCAACAUGGGAUCCUUAAGCCACGGAGCGUGGUCAGGGAUUGAACCCACAGCCUCAUGGAUACUAGUUGGGUCCCUAACCUGUUAAGCCACAAAAGGAACUCUGAGAAAACAGUUUCUUAAGAAAAUUUUUUACAUUCUUCAAGAAAUGUAAGUCAGAUUCCACUUAUAAGAGGUAUUAAAAGUAGUCAGACUCUUAGAAACAGGAAGUUGAAUGGUAGUUGUAAGGGGCUAGGGGGAGAGAGAAGAGUUGUGGUUUCCUAGGUAUUGCUUUUUGCGUGAUGAGCAAGUCCAGCUGUCUGUCACCCGACAGUGUGCAUAUAUGAACGAUACUAUACCACCUGCUUAGAAAUGGGUCUUAGAAAUUUAGAUGGUAAUUUCAUAUGAUGUGUUAUUUUUUAACCAUAAUAAAAAAUGAAAGAUAUUAAAAUGA
Sus scrofa (pig) is the source of this 23134-nucleotide non-coding RNA. The record is from RefSeq and is a predicted model, not a curated record. Lineage: Eukaryota; Metazoa; Chordata; Mammalia; Artiodactyla; Suidae.